RNAcentral lists this ribosomal RNA (510 nucleotides) under uncultured bacterium. Its description in RNAcentral is "partial 16S ribosomal RNA". It matches the Rfam family "Bacterial small subunit ribosomal RNA", at positions 28 to 507 of the family's 1533-position model. The record is from RNAcentral.
GACGAACGCUGGCGGCGUGCUUAACACAUGCAAGUCGAACGAAGAGCGAUGGAAGCUUGCUUCUAUCAAUCUUAGUGGCGAACGGGUGAGUAACGCGUAAUCAACCUGCCCUUCAGAGGGGGACAACAGUUGGAAACGACUGCUAAUACCGCAUACGAUCUAAACUCGGCAUCGAGGAUAGAUGAAAGGUGGCCUCUACAUGUAAGCUAUCACUGAAGGAGGGGAUUGCGUCUGAUUAGCUAGUUGGAGGGGUAACGGCCCACCAAGGCGAUGAUCAGUAGCCGGUCUGAGAGGAUGAACGGCCACAUUGGGACUGAGACACGGCCCAGACUCCUACGGGAGGCAGCAGUGGGGAAUCUUCCGCAAUGGACGAAAGUCUGACGGAGCAACGCCGCGUGAGUGAUGGCGGCCUUCGGGUUGUAAAGCUCUGUUAAUCGGGACGAAAGGCCUUCUUGCGAAUAGUGAGAAGGAUUGACGGUACCGGAAUAGAAAGCCACGGCUAACUACGUG